Molecule: long non-coding RNA, 2373 nt
Organism: Mobula hypostoma (lesser devil ray)
Lineage: Eukaryota; Metazoa; Chordata; Chondrichthyes; Myliobatiformes; Myliobatidae
Exons: 3
Source: RefSeq, a predicted model, not a curated record
GGACGUGCUGGGCGCGCUCUGGUCGACCACCGUGGUUGGUCCCAGGCGGCGGGUCGAGGAGGCCGGAGGAGAUCGAAUGGUGGAAAGAAGACCCCAAUAAUUGAGCUCCAACGGUUGUGCAUGAAGUCUCUUGCAGAUUAUGCACAGAUUGAAUCAACAUGAGAUUGAUGUCUUUGCAGUUACAGCUGUCACCCACAUAUUCAACUCACUCCAAUAUGACAACGUUGGAUGCGGUAAAGCUCAAACAGAGAGAAGCACGGUAUGUUUGGGAUGGCCUAUGGAAGUCAAGAUGCGGGACAGCAGCAGUGGAUGGCGUGAAUAAUGAAUGCAAGGGUGAAUGUCACAGAAGGAAAAGGGCAAGAGAUCCCAAAAAUAGGGGAGUGUUGUCGAUAACUGCUGCCCACUUGGUUGCAGGAGAAAUGCUGGAAGGAAAAAACCAUCGUUGACAAAGGGGAUUUUGAGGGCCCAAAUGCAGAACUUACAAACACUUUGAGCUGGCAAGUCCUGCCUGCCAUUUAUGGGAAACUGUAUGGCUAUGGUUAAAUUUAACUCUAGUUCUGGAUUGCACUCUGAAUAAGAUGGACCAUGACUUCAUUGACAUAAAACAGAGACGUUCAAUAGCUUGGGAUAUGUUCCCAGUUUUCUAUUUUUAAUUCUUACCCCACCUGUCCCACCUGUUAAAAUUAAGUAGUAAAUAGAUUCAAACAUAACUCUCAGCUAGAAAUCUAAGAGUGGGGAAUUUGAAUUUCAAUUACAGUGACAUAGAAGCAAAUGUAAAAUUUAACUCCUUGAUCAUCGUCAUGGGAAAUUGAUGAAUAUUCAGUUAGAAUAAGAAUUGGAAUCAGGUUUAUUAUCAAUGACUUGUGAUGAAAUUCAUAGUUUUGCAGCAGCAAUGCAGCACAAUAAGACCGUAAGGUACAGGAGCAGAAUUAGGCCAUUUGGCCCAUCGCGCUUGCUCUGCCAUUUCCUCAAUGCUAAUCCAUUUUUCCUCUCAGCCCCAAACUCCCCCCGUUUCCUUCAUGCCCUGACCAAUCAAGUUGCAAUCAAUAAGUUACAGAAAUAAAUAUAUAGGGCAAAAGGCAUUGUUCGUUUAUGUGUUUAUGUGCUCUGAAGGUUGACGGGAAGAAAGUGUUCUCAGUGUGGGUCUUCAGGUUUCUGUACCUCCUCACCAGUGGUAGCACCAUUUAUAGGGUAUAUCCUGGAUGGGAAGGGUCUUUAAUGAUGAAUUCUGCUUUCUUAAGGCACCAUCUCAGAAGUUGUUCUUGACAGAGGAAAAAAUUAAACCAGUUAUGGAACUGGCUGAGCCUCUGCAGCCUUUUGCAAUCCUAUGCAUUGGAGGUUCUAUAUCAAUCUGUGAUGCAAUCAGUUAGAAUGCUCUCUAUCAUUCAUCUGUGGAAAUUUGCAAAAGUCUUUGGUGAUAUACCAAAUCUCCUCAUACUCCUAAUGAAAUAUAACUGCUGGCAUGUCUUCUUUGUGAUUGAAUCAUUGUGCGCAGUCCAUGCUAGAUCUUGAGAGACAUUGAACUUAGGAACUUGGAGUUGCUCACCCUUUUGACUAUUUACUGCUUCAUGAGGGCUGGUGGAUUCUGAUAUGGUUCUCUAUUGUGCACAGAGAAUUGGAAGGGGGCUGGUAGAAGGGAAUUAUGGUUGGGGAAAGAGGAAGGGAGAGGGGAUAGAGCAGGAAGCACCAGAGAGACAUUCUGUAAUGAUCAAUAAAUUAAUUGUUUGGACUCCAAUGACCUUGCUUGGUGUCUCAGGGAUGGGUGUGUCUGCACCCAUGCUGACCCCCACCCUGGUACUCCUUCUCUGCCACCUGUUCCACAACCCUUUUGUGGCAGUCUGCCCUUGCCCUUCCCAACAUCCUUUGCUCUCACCGGAUUUACCAACUCAUUCUCCACUCCACAUUGACAAAUGCAAAAGUCUUAGGCACCCCAGCUAAAUAUAUUUGAAACUUGAUUUGUGUGAGGGAAUCUGAUCGAUAAACAGUAGCCUGAUUAUGAUUUGUUGUUCCCUAGGUGCUCCAAAGCCAUGUAGAGAGCCAGUGAGAUUGUGUACAUUGUAGAUUGUUGUGAUGGUAGUCAAAUUGCAAUGGGUCUAGGUAUGUAUUUGACAUAGGAGUUAAUUCCCGUCAUAGCAUUAUUGAAUUUAUUUUAUUAACUCUUGAUAAAGCAUACAUCACUUGAAAUGAAUAACUAUUGGAUAGUAGUUACUGUUAUCAGUUCCUAUUCCAAGAACAUUGGUUUCACUAUAAUUAAUGUUCUGCUUUCAAUUUUAUUCUCACAGCCAUCACAUCGGAUCGAAAUAGAAGGGAAAUUUGUCUAAAGAAAAUAAAUUAAUAUUGCAUUUAAUCAUGUAGGAGUGUUUCAGACCCCUA